Molecule: ribosomal RNA, 325 nt
Filed under: uncultured bacterium
Lineage: Bacteria
Description: bacterial SSU rRNA
Rfam family: Bacterial small subunit ribosomal RNA
Source: RNAcentral
GACGAACGCUGGCGGCGUGCCUAAUACAUGCAAGUCGAGCGAGCGGAACCAACAGAUUUACUUCGGUAAUGACGUUGGGAAAGCGAGCGGCGGACGGGUGAGUAACGCGUGAGGAACCUGCCUCGGAGUGGGGAAUAACAGUUGGAAACAGCUGCUAAUACCGCAUAAUGCAACGGAAUCGCAUGACUCUGUUGCCAAAGAUUUAUCGCUCUGAGAUGGCCUCGCGUCUGAUUAGCUAGUUGGCGGGGUAACGGCCCACCAAGGCGACGAUCAGUAGCCGGACUGAGAGGUUGGCCGGCCACAUUGGGACUGAGACACGGCCCAG